UCGGGAAUUUUGGGCAAUGGGCGAAAGCCUGACCCAGCAACGCCGCGUGAAGGAUGAAGUAUUUCGGUAUGUAAACUUCGAAAGAAUAGGAAGAAUAAAUGACGGUACUAUUUAUAAGGUCCGGCUAACUACGUGCCAGCAGCCGCGGUAAUACGUAGGGACCAAGCGUUGUUCGGAUUUACUGGGCGUAAAGCGCGUGUAGGCGGACUUGUAAGUUGGGGGUGAAAUCCCGAGGCUCAACCUCGGAACUGCCUCCAAAACUACAAAUCUGGACCUAAGUAGAGGCAAGUGGAAUUGCGAGUGUAGAGGUGAAAUUCGUAGAUAUUCGCAGGAACACCAGUGGCGAAGGCGACUUGCUGGACUUAUGGUGACGCUGAGACGCGAAAGCGUGGGGAGCAAACAGGAUUAGAUACCCCCGUAGUCCCUGAGCGGGCUGGCAAGGCGCAU
Molecule: ribosomal RNA, 447 nt
Filed under: uncultured bacterium
Lineage: Bacteria
Description: bacterial SSU rRNA
Rfam family: Bacterial small subunit ribosomal RNA
Source: RNAcentral